This is a long non-coding RNA of Culex pipiens pallens (northern house mosquito), 661 nucleotides long. RefSeq lists it as uncharacterized. The record is from RefSeq and is a predicted model, not a curated record. The transcript is spliced from 3 exons. Lineage: Eukaryota; Metazoa; Arthropoda; Insecta; Diptera; Culicidae.
AAAGGACGUCAGCUUUCGUGUCGGUCACACAGCGGUGUGCUGUGUCGUCGUCGUGGGGUGUUUUUGUGGAGUUUAGCCUGGAGUUUGAAGCGGAAACGGAGAACCUUGCGGAAGAGACAAAGAGUGCAGAAACUUAAUCGUCGUACUUUCACGUCGUAAUUAUAAACUCUAAAUCGGCGUUUUAAGUGUCUGUGAGACUGUGACUAGACGAAAGGUGAUUAUUUCCUGGAAGAAACACCAAAGUGAGUGAAGAGCACGAGAAAAGUGUGGUAUACUAAUUAAAAGUGUAUAAAUGCCCUGAGCGAUAGCUGAGAAAACUCCAUCCGGUGAUCAGGUGAAAACAUCAAACGGGAAAGCAGGAAGGAGCAUCAACAGCAAACGACGGAAGCAGCUUCAUCCUGAUACAGCCGACGGCGGAUUAAAGAUUUUGGCAGAGAGAUAAGCCGGCACUUAUUGAAUCGUAAGCCGUGCAAAGUACACUCUUCUGUUUUGAGUUUUUCCAAGGAAUGAAAAACGAUACAAUGAUGUCGCAAGUUUUUUGACGAAAGCCUGGUAGAUGGUAAGUGUGCCCCGCUCCGGAAAUACUUCAACCGUUAUGCCCAUUCAUCGCGGACUGCACAUAAAUUGUGGAACGCUUUUCCGGGUUCUUUUAUCGCUCGGA